Molecule: ribosomal RNA, 251 nt
Filed under: uncultured bacterium
Lineage: Bacteria
Description: partial 16S ribosomal RNA
Rfam family: Bacterial small subunit ribosomal RNA
Source: RNAcentral
UACGUAGGGCGCAAGCGUUGUCCGGAAUUAUUGGGCGUAAAGAGCUCGUAGGUGGUUUGUUACGUCUGCUGUGAAAACCUAGGGCUUAACCCUGGGCCUGCAGUGGAUACGGGCAGACUAGAGGUAGGUAGGGGAGAUUGGAUUCCUGGUGUAGCGGUGGAAUGCGCAGAUAUCAGGAGGAACACCGAUGGCGAAGGCAGAUCUCUGGGCCGUAACUGACGCUGAGGAGCGAAAGCAUGGGGAGCGAACAG